RNAcentral lists this transfer RNA (92 nucleotides) under Luteimonas terricola. Its description in RNAcentral is "tRNA-Pro". Lineage: Bacteria; Pseudomonadati; Pseudomonadota; Gammaproteobacteria; Lysobacterales; Lysobacteraceae. The record is from RNAcentral.
GGUCGGUGGCGGGGUGAUUGGCGGCGGCGGAUCGGCAUCGCCGUUGCUGACUGUCACGGCGAGCUGGCCGGUGCCGAUGCCGUCGCCGAGCA